RNAcentral lists this ribosomal RNA (759 nucleotides) under uncultured Prevotella sp. RNAcentral describes it as "bacterial SSU rRNA". It matches the Rfam family "Bacterial small subunit ribosomal RNA", at positions 28 to 776 of the family's 1533-position model. The record is from RNAcentral. Lineage: Bacteria; Pseudomonadati; Bacteroidota; Bacteroidia; Bacteroidales; Prevotellaceae.
GAUGAACGCUAGCUACAGGCUUAACACAUGCAAGUCGCGGGGCAGCAUGGGGGUUGCUUGCAACCCCUGAUGGCGACCGGCGCACGGGUGAGUAACGCGUAUCCAACCUGCCCUUCACCACGGGAUAACCCGGCGAAAGUCGGACUAAUACCGUAUGUUGUCCAUUGACGGCAUCCGAUUUGGACGAAAGGCUUAGCGGUGAGGGAUGGGGAUGCGUCCGACUAGCUUGACGGCGGGGUAACGGCCCACCGUGGCAACGAUCGGUAGGGGUUCUGAGAGGAAGGUCCCCCACACUGGAACUGAGACACGGUCCAGACUCCUACGGGAGGCAGCAGUGAGGAAUAUUGGUCAAUGGGCGGAAGCCUGAACCAGCCAAGUAGCGUGCAGGAUGACGGCCCUAUGGGUUGUAAACUGCUUUUAUGCGGGGAUAAAAGAAUUCACGUGUGGAUUUUUGCAGGUACCGCAUGAAUAAGGACCGGCUAAUUCCGUGCCAGCAGCCGCGGUAAUACGGAAGGUCCGGGCGUUAUCCGGAUUUAUUGGGUUUAAAGGGAGCGUAGGCCGCCCCUUAAGCGUGUUGUGAAAUGCGGGUGCUCAACAUCCGACUUGCAGCGCGAACUGGGGGGCUUGAGUGCGCCGAAAGUAGGCGGAAUUCGUGGUGUAGCGGUGAAAUGCUUAGAUAUCACGAAGAACUCCGAUUGCGAAGGCAGCUUACUGUAGCGCAACUGACGCUGAUGCUCGAAAGCGUGGGUAUCGAACAGG